GGUGCUGUAGUUCAGUUGGUUAGAAUAUCGGCCUGUCACGCCGGAGGUCGCGAGUUCGAGUCUCGUCGGCACCGCCA
RNAcentral lists this transfer RNA (77 nucleotides) under Bacteroidales bacterium. RNAcentral's name for it is "tRNA-Asp". It matches the Rfam family "tRNA". Rfam says of the family: Transfer RNA (tRNA) molecules are approximately 80 nucleotides in length. Their secondary structure includes four short double-helical elements and three loops (D, anti-codon, and T loops). Lineage: Bacteria; Pseudomonadati; Bacteroidota; Bacteroidia; Bacteroidales. The record is from RNAcentral. RNAcentral also lists the same sequence under 1 other name.